Molecule: ribosomal RNA, 497 nt
Filed under: uncultured bacterium
Lineage: Bacteria
Description: partial 16S ribosomal RNA
Rfam family: Bacterial small subunit ribosomal RNA
Source: RNAcentral
GAUGAACGCUGGCGGCGUGCCUAAUACAUGCAAGUCGAGCGAACGGACGAGAAGCUUGCUUCUCUGAUGUUAGCGGCGGACGGGUGAGUAACACGUGGAUAACCUACCUAUAAGACUGGGAUAACUUCGGGAAACCGUAGCUAAUACCCGAUAAUAUUUUGAACCGCAUGGUUCAAAAGUGAAAGACGGUCUUGCUGUCACUUAUAGAUGGAUCCGUGCUGCAUUAGCUAGUUGGUAAGGUAACGGCUUACCAAGGCAACGAUGCAUAGCCGACCUGAGAGGGUGGUCGGCCACACUGGAAGUGAGGCACGGUCCAGACUCCUGAGGGAGGCAGCAGUAGGAAAUCUUACGCGAUGGGGGAAAGGGUGACGGAGCAACGCGGCGUGAGUGAUGAAGGUCUUAGGAUCGUAGAACUCUGUUAUUAGGGAAGAACAUAUGUGUAAGUAAAUGUGCACAUCUUGACGGUACCUAAUCAGAAAGCCACGGCUAACUACGUG